Molecule: ribosomal RNA, 112 nt
Filed under: Jaculus jaculus (lesser Egyptian jerboa)
Lineage: Eukaryota; Metazoa; Chordata; Mammalia; Rodentia; Dipodidae
Source: RNAcentral
GUCUAUAGCCAUAUCACCCUGAAUGUGCCCAGUCUCAUCUAUCUCGGAAGCUAUGCAGGGUUGGGUCUGGUUAGUACUGGUGGGGCGGGGGUAGAACCCAAGCUUGCAGGCC